CCUACAACUAGCAUGCCUCCCUCCUAAGCCCCUCGUUAGCACACAUUUGUGCAGAAAUACCUGGCUCUGUCUUUGGUGCUGUGUGCACUGAUAUCCAUGUCAAAUGCACAAUGCUACAAUAGGGCUUUGACACCAGGCAUGACCCACUGCCAGGAUGAAGUGGAUCU
Notolabrus celidotus (New Zealand spotty) is the source of this 167-nucleotide long non-coding RNA. RefSeq lists it as uncharacterized. The record is from RefSeq and is a predicted model, not a curated record. The transcript has 3 exons. Lineage: Eukaryota; Metazoa; Chordata; Actinopteri; Labriformes; Labridae.